CUAAAACUCAAAGGAAUUGACGGGCCCCGCACAAGCGGCGGAGCAUGCGGCUUAAUUCGAUGCAACCCGAAGAACCUUACCUGGACUUGACAUCACCGGAAAAACCGUGGAAACACGGUGUGCUUUGCGUCGGUGACAGGUGGUGCAUGGCCGUCGUCAGCUCGUGUCGUGAGAUGUUGGGUUAAGUCCCGCAACGAGCGCAACCCUCGUUCUAUGUUGCCAGCGGAUAACGCCGGGGACUCAUAGAAGACUGCCGGGGACAACUCGGAGGAAGGCGGGGACGACGUCAAGUCAUCAUGCCCCUUAUGUCCAGGGCUGCACGCAUGCUACAAUGGACGGUACAACGGGUAGCGAUCCCGCGAGGGUGAGCCAAUCCUCCAAAGCCGUUCUCAGUUCGGAUUGGAGUCUGCAACUCGACUCCAUGAAGCCGGAGUCGCUAGUAAUCGUGGAUCAGCAUGCCGCGGUGAAUACGUUCCCGGGCCUUGUACACACCGCCCGUCACACCAUGGGAGUUGGCUUACCCGAAGGCGGCGAGCUAACCUUCGGGAGGCAACCGACCACGGUAAGGUCAGCGCCUGGG
This 580-nucleotide ribosomal RNA is filed under the name uncultured Pseudomonadota bacterium. RNAcentral's name for it is "bacterial SSU rRNA". It matches the Rfam family "Bacterial small subunit ribosomal RNA", at positions 894 to 1479 of the family's 1533-position model. Lineage: Bacteria; Pseudomonadati; Pseudomonadota. The record is from RNAcentral.